RNAcentral lists this long non-coding RNA (591 nucleotides) under Elaeis guineensis (African oil palm). RNAcentral describes it as "long non-coding RNA (EGUI_LNC008423)". The record is from RNAcentral. Lineage: Eukaryota; Viridiplantae; Streptophyta; Magnoliopsida; Arecales; Arecaceae.
AAACUACUAUAUGAAUGACCAUCUUGGCAUCUUAUCUGAAUUGAUCACAAUAUUGGUAACUAAGAAAUCUUAAAAAGUUCAGAGGUACAUACAUAGAGAGCCUAAAAAAACAACACACACCUUGAGUAGGCUUGUUAAAAUUACUCAAUAUUGUCCUUAUAAUUUUUUUUUCUCCUAGUUGAGUUUUAGACUUUAGUACUUUUUAUUCAUUUUAGUAUAAAGUCUAUGGGAAGGUAGAGAGAUGAAGAAGUAAUCCUUAAAAUUGGCAAUAGGGCAAGAGUUGCUCUGUGGCUAUGGGCAUCUAUCAUUUGUAAUUAUCAUUUAAAUUUAGUUCCUAGAGAUAGUCUCUAUCAUUUGCAUGGUGAUGCAACUAUAAACUUAAUUGAGCAAGCAAUAAAUGUCAUUAGAUCUGAGAGAUCCAAAGUUGAGAUCAAUCUUAAGUAUAUGUGGAACCCUAGGCUAGGUCGUAUAGGAGAAAAAAUGAUUAACAAACUGGAGAAAUAUGAACUUUUAGGCUCAUUAACUGCUAAGUCAUAUCUAGUUUGUACAUCAUCUUUUUGAGAAAAAAUAACCAAGCAACUCUUGUGGGAC